This 37-nucleotide non-coding RNA is filed under the name Trichobilharzia regenti. The record is from RNAcentral. Lineage: Eukaryota; Metazoa; Platyhelminthes; Trematoda; Strigeidida; Schistosomatidae.
AACUGACGAAUCCCAAAUAGGACGAAAUGCGCAUCCU